RNAcentral lists this ribosomal RNA (474 nucleotides) under Pseudomonas sp. NN018615. RNAcentral's name for it is "bacterial SSU rRNA". It matches the Rfam family "Bacterial small subunit ribosomal RNA", at positions 30 to 497 of the family's 1533-position model. Lineage: Bacteria; Pseudomonadati; Pseudomonadota; Gammaproteobacteria; Pseudomonadales; Pseudomonadaceae. The record is from RNAcentral.
AUUGAACGCUGGCGGCAGGCCUAACACAUGCAAGUCGAGCGGUAGAGAGAAGCUUNCUUNUCUUGAGAGCGGCGGACGGGUGAGUAAUGCCUAGGAAUCUGCCUGGUAGUGGGGGAUAACGCUCGGAAACGGACGCUAAUACCGCAUACGUCCUACGGGAGAAAGCAGGGGACCUUCGGGCCUUGCGNUAUCAGAUGAGCCUAGGUCGGAUUAGCUAGUUGGUGAGGUAAUGGCUCACCAAGGCGACGAUCCGUAACUGGUNUGAGAGGAUGAUCAGUCACACUGGAANUGAGACACGGUCCAGACUCCUACGGGAGGCAGCAGUGGGGAAUAUUGGACAAUGGGCGAAAGCCUGAUCCAGCCAUGCCGCGUGUGUGAAGAAGGUCUUCGGAUUGUAAAGCACUUUAAGUUGGGAGGAAGGGCAGUUACCUAAUACGUAUCUGUUUUGACGUUACCGACAGAAUAAGCACCGGC